Molecule: ribosomal RNA, 765 nt
Filed under: Bacillus pumilus
Lineage: Bacteria; Bacillati; Bacillota; Bacilli; Caryophanales; Bacillaceae
Description: bacterial SSU rRNA
Rfam family: Bacterial small subunit ribosomal RNA
Source: RNAcentral
CUAUACAUGCCAGUCGAGCGGACAGAAGGGAGCUUGCUCCCGGAUGUUAGCGGCGGACGGGUGAGUAACACGUGGGUAACCUGCCUGUAAGACUGGGAUAACUCCGGGAAACCGGAGCUAAUACCGGAUAGUUCCUUGAACCGCAUGGUUCAAGGAUGAAAGACGGUUUCGGCUGUCACUUACAGAUGGACCCGCGGCGCAUUAGCUAGUUGGUGAGGUAACGGCUCACCAAGGCGACGAUGCGUAGCCGACCUGAGAGGGUGAUCGGCCACACUGGGACUGAGACACGGCCCAGACUCCUACGGGAGGCAGCAGUAGGGAAUCUUCCGCAAUGGACGAAAGUCUGACGGAGCAACGCCGCGUGAGUGAUGAAGGUUUUCGGAUCGUAAAGCUCUGUUGUUAGGGAAGAACAAGUGCAAGAGUAACUGCUUGCACCUUGACGGUACCUAACCAGAAAGCCACGGCUAACUACGUGCCAGCAGCCGCGGUAAUACGUAGGUGGCAAGCGUUGUCCGGAAUUAUUGGGCGUAAAGGGCUCGCAGGCGGUUUCUUAAGUCUGAUGUGAAAGCCCCCGGCUCAACCGGGGAGGGUCAUUGGAAACUGGGAAACUUGAGUGCAGAAGAGGAGAGUGGAAUUCCACGUGUAGCGGUGAAAUGCGUAGAGAUGUGGAGGAACACCAGUGGCGAAGGCGACUCUCUGGUCUGUAACUGACGCUGAGGAGCGAAAGCGUGGGGAGCGAACAGGAUUAGAUACUUUGGUUAAUUC